GAUGAACGCUGGCGGCGUGCCUAAUACAUGCAAGUCGAGCGAACAGAUGAGUAGCUUGCUCCUCUGACGUUAGCGGCGGACGGGUGAGUAACACGUGGAUAACCUACCUAUCAGACUGGGAUAACUUCUGGAAACCGGAGCUAAUACCGGAUAAUAUAUUGAACCGCAUGGUUCAAUAGUGUAAGACGGUUUUGCUGUCACUUAUAGAUGGAUCCGCGCCGCAUUAGCUAGUUGGUAAGGUAACGGCUUACCAAGGCAACGAUGCGUAGCCGACCUGAGAGGGUGAUCGGCCACACUGGGACUGAGACACGGUCCAGACUCCGACGGGGAGCAGCAGUAGGGAAUCUUCCGCAAUGGGCGAAAGCCUGACGGAGCAACGCCGCGUGGGUGAUGAAGGUCUUCGGGUCGUAAGACUCUGUGAUUAGGGAAGGACAAAUGUGUAAGUAACUGUGCACGUCUUGACGGUACCUAAUCAGAAAGCAACGGCUAACUACGUG
Molecule: ribosomal RNA, 497 nt
Filed under: uncultured bacterium
Lineage: Bacteria
Description: partial 16S ribosomal RNA
Rfam family: Bacterial small subunit ribosomal RNA
Source: RNAcentral